RNAcentral lists this ribosomal RNA (398 nucleotides) under uncultured bacterium. Its description in RNAcentral is "partial 16S ribosomal RNA". It matches the Rfam family "Bacterial small subunit ribosomal RNA", at positions 360 to 773 of the family's 1533-position model. The record is from RNAcentral.
AAUAUUGCACAAUGGAGGGAACUCUGAUGCAGCAACGCCGCGUGAGUGAAGAAGGUUUUCGGAUCGUAAAACUCUGUCAUUGGGGAAGAAUAAAUGACGGUACCCACUGAGGAAGCCCCGCCUAACUACGUGCCAGCAGCCGCGGUAAUACGUAGGGGGCGAGCGUUGUCCGGAAUUACUGGGCGUAAAGGGCGCGUAGGCGGCCCAAUAAGUCAGAUGUGAAAGUCCUGGGCUUAACCCAGGGAUUGCAUUUGAAACUGUUGGGCUUGAGGACAGGAGAGGAAAGCGGAAUUCCCAGUGUAGCGGUGAAAUGCGUAGAUAUUGGGAGGAACACCAGUGGCGAAGGCGGCUUUCUGGACUGCACCUGACGCUGAGGCGCGAAAGCCAGGGUAGCGAAC